AGAGUUUGAUCAUGGCUCAGAUUGAACGCUGGCGGCAGGCCUAACACAUGCAAGUCGAGCGAGAAAGCACUUCGGUGCGAGUAUAGCGGCGGACGGGUGAGUAACGCGUAGGAAUCUACCCAGUAGCGGGGGAUAACUUAGGGAAACUUAAGCUAAUACCGCAUACGCCCCACGGGGGAAAGGCCGGGAUCUUCGGACCGGUCACUAUUGGAUGAGCCUGCGUUGGAUUAGCUAGAUGGUGAGGUAAUGGCUCACCAUGGCGACGAUCCAUAGCUGGUCUGAGAGGAUGAUCAGCCACACUGGGACUGAGACACGGCCCAGACUCCUACGGGAGGCAGCAGUGGGGAAUAUUGGACAAUGGGCGAAAGCCUGAUCCAGCCAUGCCGCGUGUGUGAAGAAGGCUCUAGGGUUGUAAAGCACUUUCAGUAGGGAGGAAAAGUUAGUAG
This 446-nucleotide ribosomal RNA is filed under the name uncultured bacterium. RNAcentral describes it as "bacterial SSU rRNA". It matches the Rfam family "Bacterial small subunit ribosomal RNA", at positions 8 to 459 of the family's 1533-position model. The record is from RNAcentral.